AUACGAAGGGAGCUAGCGUUGUUCGGAAUUACUGGGCGUAAAGCGCACGUAGGUGGAUUGGUCAGUUGAGGGUGAAAUCCCAGGGCUCAACCCUGGAACUGCCUUCAAUACUGCCAGUCUUGAGUCCAAGAGAGGUGAGUGGAAUUCCUAGUGUAGAGGUGAAAUUCGUAGAUAUUAGGAAGAACACCAGUGGCGAAGGCGGCUCACUGGCUCGGUACUGACGCUGAGGUGCGAAAGCGUGGGGAGCAAACAGGAUUAGAAACCCCUGUAGUCC
RNAcentral lists this ribosomal RNA (274 nucleotides) under uncultured bacterium. RNAcentral's name for it is "partial 16S ribosomal RNA". It matches the Rfam family "Bacterial small subunit ribosomal RNA", at positions 523 to 796 of the family's 1533-position model. The record is from RNAcentral.